UACGUAGGGUGCGAGCGUUGUCCGGAAUUAUUGGGCGUAAAGAGCUUGUAGGCGGUUUGUCGCGUCUGCUGUGAAAAUCCGGGGCUCAACCCCGGACUUGCAGUGGGUACGGGCAGACUGGAGUGUGGUAGGGGAGACUGGAAUUCCUGGUGUAGCGGUGAAAUGCGCAGAUAUCAGGAGGAACACCGAUGGCGAAGGCAGGUCUCUGGGCCAUAACUGACGCUGAGAAGCGAAAGCAUGGGGAGCGAACAGG
This 253-nucleotide ribosomal RNA is filed under the name uncultured bacterium. Its description in RNAcentral is "partial 16S ribosomal RNA". It matches the Rfam family "Bacterial small subunit ribosomal RNA", at positions 524 to 776 of the family's 1533-position model. The record is from RNAcentral.